This 471-nucleotide ribosomal RNA is filed under the name uncultured bacterium. Its description in RNAcentral is "SSU rRNA". It matches the Rfam family "Bacterial small subunit ribosomal RNA", at positions 26 to 518 of the family's 1533-position model. The record is from RNAcentral.
AGAACGAACGCUGGCGGCAGGCUUAACACAUGCAAGUCGAACGCUCGGAGCAAUCCGGGAGUGGCAGACGGGUGAGUAACGCGUGGGAAUAUACCCUUCGGUUCGGAAUAACUUGGGGAAACUCAAGCUAAUACCGAAUACGGCCUAUGGGCGAAAGAUUGAUCGCCGAAGGAAUAGCCCGCGUCCGAUUAGCUAGUUGGUGAGGUAAUGGCUCACCAAGGCGACGAUCGGUAGCUGGUCUGAGAGGAUGACCAGCCACAUUGGGACUGAGACACGGCCCAAACUCCUACGGGAGGCAGCAGUGGGGAAUAUUGGACAAUGGGCGCAAGCCUGAUCCAGCCAUGCCGCGUGAGUGAUGAAGGCCUUAGGGUUGUAAAGCUCUUUUAUUCGGGAAGAAAGGGGACUAAUAAACGGGUUUCUGAUGACGGUACCGAAGGAAUCAGCACCGGCUAACUACGUGCCAGCAGCCGC